GUUUCUAUAAGUUUUCUUUGAAAACUAUACAUAAAAUGAAAUGUUCUAAGGAAAUAUUCUUUUAGUCACUUAAAUUAAUAUUUAAUUUUUACUAUGUGCCAGGUGCUAUAUCAGGAACUAAGGAUAGAGUAAAUAAAACAGGACUUCCAGCCCUUAACAGUGCUCACAGUCUAGUUUCUGAGACUUCUCAUUUUGACUCUGAAGGUUUACUAGAACUGAACUUGUAAAACCAUCUAGUCCCAGAGCCCACUUCGGGGCGCAUCUUUGGCAGCCUGUCAAUCUUCUUGAGCUGUUUACCGCUUGCAUAUCUCUGGAUAGUCACUGUUUUUACUUACAUCUUUUUUUCUUCCUUUUUUGGCAGUUGUGGGGUUUGAACCCAAGCCCUUCACACUGAGCUACAUCUCCAGCCCUUUAUUUUGACUCAGGGUCUCAUUAUGUUACAAAGUUGUCCAGGUGGGGGCCAACUUGUGAUUCGCCCUGCCUCAGCCAGAAUGCUAGGAUUAUAGUCAUGUAUCACCAUACCAGCUGGUUUUACUUAAGUUUUUUCAUUUAUUGGUAUAAAGCAGUAUAAAUUAUUUUCUUAGAAUCAGAAGAAUAUUCUCCUUAAUUUUUUAUUCCUAUGCCCUAUAGCACAGUUUUCAUCCUACUGUUCUUUGGUUAUUUUGUGGUUCUUUUUUUCUUGAAUGCUUAAUUUUUUAUCUUAAUUUUAUUUAUUUAUUUUUAUUUUUUGGUGUGCAUCACUACAUCAGCUUUUUUGUUGUUUUGUUUUUGGUACCGGGGAUUGAACUCAGGUCCUUGCGCUUGCAAGGCAGGCAGCAAAACCACUGAGCUAAAUCCCUGGCCCUCUUAUCUUAAUUUUAAAACAUUCUUUCAAGACUAAAUUUUCUUGUGACUAUAUCAUUGACUACAUUUCACAGACUGAUACCUUUUGACAUUAGUUUCUAAAAAGUCAGUCAUUCUGAUUUUCUCUCUUAAAAGUGUUUCUUAAUUUCCAUAGAUUUAGAAAGCCAAGAAAGUUCCAUGCCCAUACCCUAGCUACUCUGCAGUGUUGUUACUGAGCAUGACCUGCACCACCACUACUUGGAGGUUUUUUCCUCCUCUUGCUUAGUACAUGAUUCAUUGUUGGAAUGGCCCUGUGGGCAUUCAAUAAAAGUGAAUUCUGGGGGCUGGGGAUUUAGCUCAGUGGUUCUGCCACCUGCCUAGCAAGCACAAGAACCCGAGUUCAAUCCCCGGUACCAAAAAAAAAAAAAGAAAAAGAAGUCAAUUCUGUUAUACAAAAAUCACUCAUUCAUUAAAUAUUACUCAGUUUUUGUAUAAGACCUGAUUGAUACAUGAUGACGGAAAUGUUGUUUACAUUGUCCAAUGUGGUAGCCAUUAGUCAAACAUAGCUAUUGAACUCUUGAAUUGUGGCUAAUCUGAUCAAAGAACUGAAGUGUUAAUUUCAGUGAGCAAAAGGAAGUCUCUGUUUCCACUGAGCUAAUGUAGUAAGAACAAAUAACAAAAAAGUAAAAACCGUGAGAUAUAUUAAAUGCCAUGAGACCUAGCAGGCAUACUGCUGUAUUUCAUUAGGGCAGUAGGGAAACUCAACUAUAGUGACAUCUGGGUAGAGACUUCAGUGAGAGGAGGGAGCAAGCUGUGUAUCUGAGGGAAGGUAUUCCAGGGAGAGGGAACAAGUGCAAAAGUUUUCCUAUCUAGACACUAUUUGCUCUGCCAAAUUCUGAAAGGUAAAAGUGCUGGCCUGUUUAUCAAGAUUGUAAUUUUGCCAAACUUUUUUUUUUUUUUUGCAGUACUGGGGACUGAACACAGGGCCUUUUGCACUACACUAUAUCUCCAUCUCUCUUUUUUUUCCGGUACCAGGGAUCGAACUCAGGACCUUGCGCUUGUGAAGCAGGCAUGGUGCCACUGAGCUAAAUCCCUGGUCCUCUCCAUCUCUUUUUGAGACAAAAUCUUGCUAAGUUGCCCAGGCUGGGCAUAAAUUUAUGAUCCACCUGCUGUAGCUCCAGAGUGCUGGGAUUACAAGCAUGUGCCACCACGCGCAGCUCUUGCCAUACUCUUAUACAUGUAACAUCUGUUUUAUACAGUUCUUAUUCAAUGCAUAAUGAUUCAUAAGUAACAUUUUACCAGCUAUGUAAUAUCCUCUUAGCUCCACCUAAUAAUUUCUGAUAUCAAGUGUCUGACUUUUUAAAUUGUUACUCCACCUUUCCACUUGUAUUUGCCCUAUAUUUUUUCUGGUAUUGGGAAUCGAACUCAGGACCUUGCACUUGCCAGGCAGGCAUGGUGCCACUGAGCUACAUCCCCAGCCCUAUAUUAUCCUUGUGCUUUCAUCCCUUGGAAUUUUUUAAUUUUUUUUUUUUUUUGUAGUACUGGGGAUUGAACCCAGGGCCUCAUACAUGCUAGCCAAGCAAGCACUCUACCUCUUUUUUUAUUUUUUAUUUUUUUUUGGUACCAGAGAUCGAACUCAGGUCCUUGCGCUUGCGCAGCAGGCAGCAAGACCACUGAGCUAAAUCCCCAGCCCACUACCUCUUUUUUUUAAAUUUUGAGGCAAGGUUUCAUUAUAUUGCCCAGGCUGGCCUCAAACUUGCAGUUUUUCUGAUGUAGCCUUCCAAAGUGCUGGGAUUAUAGGCGUGUGCCAGCCAGCAUGGGGGUUUCUCUUUGAUCAGAUUUAUUAUAUUUAAUAUAAUAUUUGUAUUGGUCUUGUUUCUAUGUUAAUUUAACCAGGAAUCAAACUUGGUACCUUGUGCUUGCAAGGCAGGCAGUGGAACCACUGAGCUAAAUCCCUGGCCUAUCUUAAUUUUCUUACCUUUUUUUUUUUUUUUUUUUUGGUACCGGGGAUCGAAAUCAGGUCCUCACAUUUGGGCAGCAGACAGCAAAACCACUGAGCUAAAUCCCCGGCCCUUUCUUACC
This 2904-nucleotide long non-coding RNA is filed under the name Heterocephalus glaber (naked mole-rat). RNAcentral's name for it is "lncRNA (ENSHGLG00100042970.1)". The record is from RNAcentral. Lineage: Eukaryota; Metazoa; Chordata; Mammalia; Rodentia; Bathyergidae.